CGAUUGUUAGCGUAGCUACUCGUAAAUAUUCAAUUAUUUGCGCGAUUACAUCGGCGAUGCGAAAAACAGAUUCGUACCUGGUAAUCUCGUUUACUCCUUUGGACCUUUGCAAUGUAGGAAAGAAAAGAGCAAACUUGUGAUUGGAAUUUACAUUUUGAAUCACGUAUGAUGAAAGUAACGAUGCUCUACGUAUCAAGAGUUGAAUCUAUCAGCUUUAAUGGAAAGGUGCAAAUUAGAGGAAUUGCAUCGUUGCUCAGCUCUUUUCUCACACAUAACUGAGGAACAGUCCCACGAUAUCCCUUCACACAGGAUGCGCAUAUAAUAAUGGUAUUGUUUUUCAUGAGUCUAGCCACGGUUCGUAAACCGUUUAAGAACACGGUUGUAUUUUUAUGCGCAUUCUUUAGAACCAAGAAAUUUUUUUUUUAAAAGAAAAGCCCUUCUCGCUAUGCUUGUGAAGAUUUAUUUAAGAUAAUUACUCCAUAAUUUAGUGUUACCCUAGCGCAAUAUAUUAAUAUUAAUUUUAUAAUUAAUUUUAUAAAAUAAGAGUAAAUAACAUAUCUUGUUUUUUUUUUAAAAAGCAUUAUAUGUAACCUUUAUCAGCAUUCAAACACUGCUAUCUUGAAGAAACAUAAUUUAAAUAAUAUUCUCAAUAGCGAUGUAGUAACAUAAUCCACAUAUUUAUCGAUUAGGAGAUUUGUUUAGGUUCAGAUAACGCAAUCACAAAUUGGCAGUGCGUGUAGAUGUAAAAUAUAUAGGUUUAUUCGUGUAUCAACGUUCACCGGAAGCGCGGCGUAGCGUAACUCCGGUACUUCCUCGAUACUCAGUAAGAACGCAUAUUUCUAGCCAAACGGUUCGCGUUUUACGCUAGGAAAUAGCAUAUUAGUAAUGAAUUUGAUAUUUAAAAAAAUUUCCUGAAAGAUUAGAAUUUGCAAAACUUAAAUUUUACAUUUUGCGUACUUGAAAUUUGCAACAGGUUGCGGUCCAUGGUGAGUGACAAAAAAGAUAAAAGAUAAUGAUCUUUUUUCGAGCAGUUGCGUGCUCUGUGUUUCGUUUUAAAACGAUACAAGUCCAAAAACGUAUACUGAGAUUUCAGAAAACGAGUUCUAAAAUGCAUUAUCAUAUUCGUUGUGACUUAAAUAAAUUAGUAUUUUGUAUACAGGAUAUUUGUAUAUAAUUUUCACACUAUUGAAUACAUGUUCACUUUUAAAACUUAUAAAACGAAACGAAACAUAAAAUAAUAUAUUUUGGCUUCAUGUAAGUAUUUAAAAACACGUGAAACUAUGAUAUAAAUGAUAUUCAAGAUAAAUAUUUUACUUUAGAAUGUACUAAGUACGAUAAAUCAGUUUGAUUUUCUUGCAAGCUGAAGGUGCGAUAUGUAUUGUAAAGCACCAUGACAAUAGAAAAUACACGUCAGCAUAUCUUUAGUGUGUGUGUACGUGCAAGACUUGGAACUGCUGAAGUUAUGGAGACUGUCGAUUGUCUGCGAUACAUGCGGUGCGACUUUGAAAGUACAUUAAUAUCGAUGGUCACCACUUGAGGCACAACUGUUCUAACAAGAAAACCACCAAAACUCUUCCUCCUCGACUUUGACAAAUAACCAAACGAGAAAUUGCCUUUCAAAGAAAAUACUGUAAUUCUAUUAAAACUUAUUUCGCAAAUAAUAUUUCUAUCAAAUUUAUUCAACAUGGAAUUUCAGUGUAAGACUUAAACACGAAUAUAUAUUAUACUAAAAAAAGUCAUAUCGAAGAAAAAUGGAAUCCGAUAAAAUUUACCCUAAG
Molecule: long non-coding RNA, 1778 nt
Filed under: Ooceraea biroi (clonal raider ant)
Lineage: Eukaryota; Metazoa; Arthropoda; Insecta; Hymenoptera; Formicidae
Description: uncharacterized LOC105277541
Source: RNAcentral